AACCUUAAGUUUUUUUGCUUCCCCCCCCCUUGAUGAUCAUGGUCCUUUCAGCCAGAUGUUUUCCAUCUGUUUGAGAAAAAAAAAUUAAAUGAGGAAAAAGUGUACUCCAAUCAAUUUAGAAAAAUCAACCGGUUGUCAAUAAUUACUGGUCCUCUAGAAGCCACACCCUGCUUCUUCUUCUUCUGUUAUGGUGCCUUUGUUUUGGUCAUGUCUUCCUUGUUACUUUUCUCUUUAUGGCAGCAUUAUAUUUUUUAAAUAGAGACUACUGUUCAGGGUAGAUUUUUUUUUUUUUUUUUUUUUUUCUUUUUUUUUUGCCUUUAUUUGAAGGUAUGUUUUAGCUGCUAUUAAUGUGACUCGACUAGCAGUUUUAGCACUGAUUAAAGUGAUAUCUUUUUUUUAAAAAAACAUUUUCACUUUUUAAGUAGUACGACUCAUAUAGUCAUUGAGAUUAAUCAUUUUUCGUUAACUUGCCCUGAAACAUAUUUUUCUUUUCUAUUUGUUUAAAAAAAAAAAUAAAGCUGUUACUGUGACAAAAAUUUACUGUAUAAAAAUCAUGAAGAAAUGAACAGCUUAAUGUAUGAAAUGGCUUGUAAGUAGAGUUAAUGUAAAGUUUUGGCCUGCCAGGGGUGUGCCAGAGGUUAAAAGGUAAACUAAAAAGUGAAAAUGCUUUAACAUAUCACAGUGAAGGUUGUACAUUUCUAAACCUAUUUAAUUCACUUUGUGCAGAUGUGUUUAAUUUGAAUUCCCGUUGUAUAUUUUAACUAUUUAUGUGAUUGCAUUCUGUGUAAAUUUAUGUAGAAAUGUUAUGCACACUCCACCUAACAUGUUUAAUGGUCCUCGACUUUUUGUGUGUAUGAAAGUUGACCUGCGUUGACCUGUCAUGAAGAAUAAAAAGCCAACACUGUAUACACUGA
Molecule: long non-coding RNA, 914 nt
Organism: Melanotaenia boesemani (Boeseman's rainbowfish)
Lineage: Eukaryota; Metazoa; Chordata; Actinopteri; Atheriniformes; Melanotaeniidae
Exons: 3
Source: RefSeq, a predicted model, not a curated record